RNAcentral lists this small RNA (31 nucleotides) under Arabidopsis thaliana (thale cress). RNAcentral's name for it is "ATSL127160". The record is from RNAcentral. Lineage: Eukaryota; Viridiplantae; Streptophyta; Magnoliopsida; Brassicales; Brassicaceae.
UUCUUCAGCCGGUUCAACUCCGUCUCUCUUU